Molecule: ribosomal RNA, 524 nt
Filed under: uncultured bacterium
Lineage: Bacteria
Description: partial 16S ribosomal RNA
Rfam family: Bacterial small subunit ribosomal RNA
Source: RNAcentral
GACGAACGCUGGCGGCGUGCCUAAUACAUGCAAGUCGUACGCUUCUUUUUCCACCGGAGCUUGCUCCACCGGAAAAAGAGGAGUGGCGAACGGGUGGGUAACACGUGGGUAACCUGCCCAUCAGAAGGGGAUAACACUUGGAAACAGGUGCUAAUACCGUAUAACAAUCGAAACCGCAUGGUUUUGAUUUGAAAGGCGCUUUCGGGUGUCGCUGAUGGAUGGACCCGCGGUGCAUUAGCUAGUUGGUGAGGUAACGGCUCACCAAGGCCACGAUGCAGAGCCGACCUGAGAGGGUGAUCGGCCACAUUGGGACUGAGACACGGCCCAAACUCCUACGGGAGGCAGCAGCAGGGAAUCUUCGGCAAUGGACGAAAGUCUGACCGAGCAACGCCGCGUGAGUGAAGAAGGUUUUCGGAUCGUAAAACUCUGUUGUUAGAGAAGAACAAGGAUGAGAGUAACUGUUCAUCCCUUGACGGUAUCUAACCAGAAAGCCACGGCUAACUACGUGCCAGCAGCCGCCGUAA